This 253-nucleotide ribosomal RNA is filed under the name uncultured bacterium. RNAcentral's name for it is "partial 16S ribosomal RNA". It matches the Rfam family "Bacterial small subunit ribosomal RNA", at positions 524 to 776 of the family's 1533-position model. The record is from RNAcentral.
UACGGGGGGGGCAAGCGUUGUUCGGAAUUACUGGGCGUAAAGGGUUUGUAGGUGGCCCGCUAAGUCACACGUGAAAUCCCUCAGCUUAACUGGGGAAUUGCGUGUGAGACUGGCAGGCUCGAGGGCAGGAGAGGAACGCGGAAUUCCAGGUGUAGCGGUGAAAUGCGUAGAUAUCUGGAGGAACACCGGUGGCGAAGGCGGCGUUCUGGACUGUCUCUGACACUGAAGAACGAAAGCCAGGGGAGCAAACGGG